Ananas comosus (pineapple) is the source of this 1254-nucleotide long non-coding RNA. RefSeq lists it as uncharacterized. The record is from RefSeq and is a predicted model, not a curated record. The transcript has 3 exons. NCBI's taxonomy places the organism in Eukaryota, Viridiplantae, Streptophyta, Magnoliopsida, Poales, Bromeliaceae.
AACCAGACCCUAAAGUGAUUGAUUUUUUUUAUGCAGCAGGAGCAGAUAGAUAGCUUCCUUCCAAUUGAGAUGGGUAUAGUGAGCAAGCAGCCGACAAAUUACUUCUGCAAGACUCUGACGGGAAGCGAUACGAGUACUCACGGGGGAUUCUUUGUUCCCCACCGUGCUGCUGAGAAGGUGUUUCCUCCCCUGGAUUUCACUCAGCAGCCACCAGCGCAGGAGCUCAUUGCGCGUGAUCUUCAUGAUGUUGAAUGGAAGUUCAGGCACAUCUUUCGAGGUAAGGAGAAGGUAGGGAAAUAGAUCCGUGCCGUGGUUGAGGUAUUGGAAAGAAUGAAUGUUGAUGCACAUAAGGGAUUAGUGUAACAUCUUCAGGAGUCAGUGCUUGUAUAGCAUAUAGAUAAAUUGGUUAUAGAUGUUAAGAGUAGUGCUUACUUAGUUUGAUGCCCAUAGAUGUUAGAUAAGAUGGAUACAAACGCCAAAUUAUGUAUUCAGGCAUGUAGCAUUUUUAUGGUUGGAAAGAAUUGAUUGCAUGUCUCAUGAUAUAGGUUGGGUUUGAAGGUAAUUAGAUAAGGCAUUUCUUUGAUUCAAUACAGUGAAAAAAGUUGAUGUUCUUGAAUAUAAGAGAGGCCCAAGGAAUUGACAAUAAUAUAACAGUAGAGUUGUAAAUAAGCAAGAUUAUCUAUUAAAGAAAUUUUGUUGAAUAAGGACUCUUCUUGAAUGGUUUAACAGAAUAUAUUCUGUGGCAUGAACAGUUAUAAGAGAGAUGUUGUUUCUCACCUUUGAUCGGGAUUAACUGCCAAAACUAUCUUCUUCUUUGAACCAUAGAAUGAGUAAUUUGGAUCAUCAAUUUGAGCAACCCGCCGACCUUAAUGUGAAUCCUGGGACAGAAUGCAUUGUUUAUGCCCUUAUCAAAUGUAUUUUUACAUGUACAUAUGAACGUGUGCAUGCACACAUGUAAAUUGUUGUUUGGCGUUCCAACAUCCCUUUUCUUUUCAAAAUAGUAAAACUUCUAGCAGUGGUAAAGUUGGGUAAUUGGAGUAAACUGUUGCAUCCAGUUCUCCAGUGUUAUAUGAUUCUUCAUAAACAACAUACCCCAUGUAUCCAUCAUUGUUCCCCCUGAGGCUCAAGCGUCCUUGGCAGCCUGGAGCACCAUAUUCUCAAGAGAAUAAAGAACUCGAGAGCAAUUCCCCGGUGUUUCUAAGAGGGGGUAGUGGAGAACGAGGCAUUCAGCCUUUUAAUUUUCUGCCUUUUGGU